UCGCUGUGAAGAUGCAGUGUACCCGCGGCAAGACGGAAAGACCCCGUGAACCUUUACUAUAGCUUGACACUGAACAUUGAGCCUUGAUGUGUAGGAUAGGUGGGAGGCUUAGAAGUGUGGACGCCAGUCUGCAUGGAGCCGACCUUGAAAUACCACCCUUUAAUGUUUGAUGUUCUAACGUUGACCCCUAAUCGGGGUUGCGGACAGUGUCUGGUGGGUAGUUUGACUGGGGCGGUCUCCUCCUAAAGAGUAACGGAGGAGCACGAAGGUUGGCUAAUCCUGGUCGGACAUCAGGAGGUUAGUGC
This 305-nucleotide ribosomal RNA is filed under the name Escherichia coli. RNAcentral describes it as "partial 23S ribosomal RNA". It matches the Rfam family "Bacterial large subunit ribosomal RNA", at positions 2048 to 2352 of the family's 2925-position model. Lineage: Bacteria; Pseudomonadati; Pseudomonadota; Gammaproteobacteria; Enterobacterales; Enterobacteriaceae. The record is from RNAcentral.